RNAcentral lists this ribosomal RNA (367 nucleotides) under uncultured Glomeromycotina. RNAcentral's name for it is "LSU rRNA". The record is from RNAcentral. Lineage: Eukaryota; Fungi; Glomeromycota.
UUGAAAGGGAACCGAUUGAAGUCAGUCGUACCCGACGAGAAAUCAGCUUUUCGAAUGUGCAUUUGUGGGCGUAUGAGAUCUUCAUUGUUUGCAAUAUGUAUGUUUCUUUGGUGUACUUUUUCGUAUGGUAGGUCACCGUCGGUUUUGAUCGCCAUAAAAUGAUCGGAGGAAUGUAGCUUCGCCUUCGGUUGAAGUGUUAUAGCCUUUGGUAAAUGUGGUGAUUAAGCCCGAGGAUUGCAACGAAUACCUUUUAGGCUAUCCGUCUGACCUCUGAAAGUUACUUGGGUGUCGAAAGCUUGCUUACGGCCAUUUAAGUCAACGGUCAAAAGGUUAGAACGUGAUCACAUUCGUUAAGGAUGUUGACGUA